UACGAAGGGUGCAAGCGUUGUUCGGAUUUAUUGGGCGUAAAGCGCGCGCAGGCGGCUUUGUAAGUCAGAUGUGAAAUCUCGGGGCUUAACCUCGAAACAGCGUCUGAAACUGCAAAACUAGAAUAUCGGAGGGGGCAGGGGAAUUUCUCGUGUAGGGGUAAAAUCCGUAGAUAUGAGAAGGAACACCGGUGGCGAAAGCGCCUGCCUGGACGAUUAUUGACGCUGAGGCGCGAAAGCGUGGGGAGCAAACAGG
Molecule: ribosomal RNA, 253 nt
Filed under: uncultured bacterium
Lineage: Bacteria
Description: partial 16S ribosomal RNA
Rfam family: Bacterial small subunit ribosomal RNA
Source: RNAcentral